UUUCGUUCGACUCCCUCGCUACGUUAUCUUCCUUGCCGACUCAAGCUUUAUGCCGAUCGCUGCCUGACUGACUGCUUUCUCGUCGACUUUUCUUGUAUCUCGACAACGUCGUGUAUCUGACCGAAUCUGUUGCUCGUAUCUCACCGACUCUGCUGCUCUCUCCCAAAAGACAUUUAUUGUUCACUGCUGUUGUCUUUGCUGAACUCGUUAUCAAAGAAAAUCGGCAAAGGGAAGAAAAACUUAUCGAGGAAGGUAGAAAAGGGAAGAAAAACUUAUGGAGGAAGGUAGACAAAGAGAAGAAAAUCUCAAGGAGAUGGUUCAUAAGAUGAUUCAAGAGGUUGGAUAUACAAAUCAUUUGUAUCCAGGAGGAUCUGGUCCCCGCGAGGAUCAUGAUAAAUGAAAUAAAAAAUUAGAUUUAGUUAGAUAAUAUGAAUAUUUGAAUGAUGUGAUAUUUUUAGAUUAAAAAUUAAUUGCUUCGAAUAUUUUUAA
Molecule: long non-coding RNA, 489 nt
Organism: Zingiber officinale
Lineage: Eukaryota; Viridiplantae; Streptophyta; Magnoliopsida; Zingiberales; Zingiberaceae
Exons: 2
Source: RefSeq, a predicted model, not a curated record